This 70-nucleotide transfer RNA is filed under the name Ictidomys tridecemlineatus (thirteen-lined ground squirrel). RNAcentral's name for it is "Spermophilus tridecemlineatus (thirteen-lined ground squirrel) tRNA". It matches the Rfam family "tRNA". Rfam says of the family: Transfer RNA (tRNA) molecules are approximately 80 nucleotides in length. Their secondary structure includes four short double-helical elements and three loops (D, anti-codon, and T loops). Further hydrogen bonds mediate the characteristic L-shaped molecular structure. tRNAs have two regions of fundamental functional importance: the anti-codon, which is responsible for specific mRNA codon recognition, and the 3' end, to which the tRNAs corresponding amino acid is attached (by aminoacyl-tRNA synthetases). tRNAs cope with the degeneracy of the genetic code in two manners: having more than one tRNA (with a specific anti-codon) for a particular amino acid; and 'wobble' base-pairing, i.e. permitting non-standard base-pairing at the 3rd anti-codon position. Lineage: Eukaryota; Metazoa; Chordata; Mammalia; Rodentia; Sciuridae. The record is from Rfam by way of RNAcentral.
GGAUAUAGCUCAGUGGUAGAGCAUUUGCCUAGCAUGCAUGAGGCACUGGGUUCAAUUCCCACUAUCACCA